RNAcentral lists this ribosomal RNA (431 nucleotides) under uncultured bacterium. RNAcentral describes it as "bacterial SSU rRNA". It matches the Rfam family "Bacterial small subunit ribosomal RNA", at positions 42 to 475 of the family's 1533-position model. The record is from RNAcentral.
UCAGGCCUAACACAUGCAAGUCGAACGGUAACGCGGGGCAACCUGGCGACGAGUGGCGAACGGGUGAGUAAAGCAUCGGAACGUGCCCAAUCGUGGGGGAUAACGUAGAGAAAUUUACGCUAAUACCGCAUGAGAUCUAAGGAUGAAAGCAGGGGAUCGCAAGACCUUGCGCGAUUGGAGCGGCUGAUGUCAGAUUAGGUAGUUGGUGGGGUAAAGGCCUACCAAGCCGACGAUCUGUAGCUGGUUUGAGAGAACGACCAGCCACACUGGGACUGAGACACGGCCCAGACCCCUACGGGAGGCAGCAGUGGGGAAUUUUGGACAAUGGGCGAAAGCCUGAUCCAGCAAUGCCGCGUGCAGGAAGAAGGCCUUCGGGUUGUAAACUGCUUUGUACGGAACGAAACGGUCUGGGUUAAUACCUGGGCUAAUGA